Molecule: small nuclear RNA, 21 nt
Filed under: Arabidopsis thaliana (thale cress)
Lineage: Eukaryota; Viridiplantae; Streptophyta; Magnoliopsida; Brassicales; Brassicaceae
Description: snRNA_18659
Source: RNAcentral
AGUGGCCUUGCUGCCACGAUC